AUGGAGUCUGCCAUCUAAGGAUUAAGACCUCUGAAACUUUUUCUUGGAGGUUCCAUCAAGAUAUGGUUGGCACUGCCCAUCAUCUCAGAGCCCAGCCAUCAAUCAACUGUGGGAUGCCUCAUGCUUUGCUGCUUCCUGCACCGUGAUGUGAUCAAGCAGUGCCAGUUCUGAACUCUGCUCUCUUCUUGUUAAGCAUCAAUAUUUCAUCAUUGGAAGAUAUUUAAGAGAAAAGCUGCCCUUGGUUUCAUUGGAAGACACCUUAUCAGCAUACUUGUUUAAGACAUCUGCACUCCAGGAUUCUAAAACAACUGACCUUUGCUAUCACCUCUCACGAAGUGGCUCAAUUUAUUUUACAGAAACACCACCACCAAGAGCCCUAGCAUGACUAGUUAUUAAAACCUUCUUCAUCUCACUCAGGAGAUUUAUGAUUGUCUCUAAGUUGUUCAACAACUAUUAUAUCCAUUCAUCUUGAACAAAAGGAGGACCGACAAUGUUGAACUUUACCUGAGAUCUGUUUCUGGGAAACAGUGAGGUUUAAGAAAUAUAUGCCCAUCAUUGUACUCUAAGAAAAGACUUCAAUUAAAUAUCCUUCUCCAUAAAACUGA
Molecule: non-coding RNA, 605 nt
Organism: Marmota flaviventris (yellow-bellied marmot)
Lineage: Eukaryota; Metazoa; Chordata; Mammalia; Rodentia; Sciuridae
Source: RefSeq, a predicted model, not a curated record